Molecule: ribosomal RNA, 468 nt
Filed under: uncultured bacterium
Lineage: Bacteria
Description: partial 16S ribosomal RNA
Rfam family: Bacterial small subunit ribosomal RNA
Source: RNAcentral
GACGAACGCUGGCGGCGUGCUUAACACAUGCAAGUCGAACGGAAAGGCCCUGCUUUUGUGGGGUGCUCGAGUGGCGAACGGGUGAGUAACACGUGAGUAACCUGCCCUUGACUUUGGGAUAACUUCAGGAAACUGGGGCUAAUACCGGAUAGGAGCUCCUGCUGCAUGGUGGGGGUUGGAAAGUUUCGGCGGUUGGGGAUGGACUCGCGGCUUAUCAGCUUGUUGGUGGGGUAGUGGCUUACCAAGGCUUUGACGGGUAGCCGGCCUGAGAGGGUGACCGGCCACAAUGGGACUGAGAUACGGCCCAGACUCCUACGGGGGGCAGCAGUGGGGAGUAUUGCACAAUGGGCGGGAGCCUGAUGCAGCAACGCCGCGUGCGGGAUGACGGCCUUCGGGGUGUAAACCGCUUUCGCCUGAGACGAAGCGUGAGUGACGGUAAUGGGUGAAGAAGCACCGGCUAACUACGUG